AUUGAACGCUGGCGGCAUGCCUUACACAUGCAAGUCGAACGGUAACAGGUCUUCGGAUGCUGACGAGUGUCGAACGGGUGAGUAAUACAUCGGCACGUGCCCGCUCCUGGGGGGUAACGAGGCGAAACCUUUGCUAAUACCGCAUACGAUCUACUGAUUAAAGCGGCGGAUCUCCGGACCUCGCGCGGACGUAGCGGCCGAUGACAGAUUAGGUAGUUGGUCGGAUAAAAGCUUACCAAGCCGACGCUGUGUAGCUGAUCUGAGAGGAUGAUCAGCCACACUGGGACUGAGGCACGGCCCAGACUCCUACGGGAGGCAGCAGUGGGGAAUUUUGGACAAUGGGCGAAAGCCUGAUCCAGCCAUGCCGCGUGCAGGAUGAAGGCCUUCGGGUUGUAAACUGCUUUUGUACGGAAAGAAAAGACUCGUACUAAUAAAGAGGGGUCAUGACGGUACCGUAAGAAUAAGCACCGGCUAACUACGUG
RNAcentral lists this ribosomal RNA (482 nucleotides) under uncultured bacterium. RNAcentral describes it as "partial 16S ribosomal RNA". It matches the Rfam family "Bacterial small subunit ribosomal RNA", at positions 30 to 507 of the family's 1533-position model. The record is from RNAcentral.